GGUAAAGUCUGCCUGAGUCACUUCCGGGUUUGAGGGGUUACAGCCAGAUCUCGUUAGGUUCUGGCGUUUUUUAGAGGACCCUGUGUUUUAGGCUUUAACUUCUCUGCCAGUUUACUGCUUUGUAAUCAAGGCAGAGCAGUUAGCCUAUAGCAGAGUGGUCCCUAUAAUUUCUCUAGCCACAGAGAUCACUCCCGCCCCUGGUCUGCUCAGGACGCUAGCCUUUUGCUGCCUGUGCUAGUCUGUUCCUGGCCCCUCAGGACAAACCUUUCCUGGCGAGCUUCCGGAUCGGCUGGUUUAGCAAUCCACCCAUGACACAAUUUGGCUGUUACAUGCUGACUUAGUGAUCCCAGAAUGGGGGUUAUGUACCUGCCUUCCUUUUGCCACAGGAUUACUAUGAAAAUCAGAUGAGAAGAUGAAGUUUGAGUCUCUUGUAAAAACAGGAACAAAGAAAAAAGGAAGAAAGAGAGAAAUGAAGGAAGAAAAGAAGAAAGGGAAGGAAGGAAAGAGGAAGGAAGAAGGAAAGAAGAAGACAAGGAAGGAGGAAGAAUGAAAAAAGGAAAAAAGAGAGGAAAGGAAGGAAAAGAGGGAAGAAAAAAGAAAGAAGGAAAAAAGGAAGGGAGGGAAAAAGAAGCAGAAAUUAACAAAUAGGAAAAAAGGGAGGGAAGAAGGAAGGAAGAAGGAAAGGUGGGAAUAAAGAAGGGAAGAAAGGAGGACAAAAAGGGGAAAGAAGGAAUGAUAAAGAUAAAAGGAAAGAAAGAAGAGGAAGAGACAGAGUAUAAUUUUUUUUUUCAUGCAUUAGACAUCUAUAUUUCCUUCUGUUCUAAUAGCAAACAUGCCUAUUGUUUUGUUCAAAGCUGACAUCAUUUUAAAAAGUUGGAUUGGAUAUUCUCUAAUAACACUGAACAGUUUCUUCUCAUCUUUAAAUGUUCUUUAAAUUUGUUGCUGACUUUGAACUUUGAUCUAAUCAGAUAAUGAUCUGAAUACACAUAUGAGUCUGAAAUGAAUGCUCCAUCUAUAAUUAGCAAUUUCUUAACAAUUGGUAUCAAUACUUUCAUUAUUAUCCUGUCAUGGAGUGCUUGACCACAUCCAAUAAUUUCUGACUUUUUUCUUGAAAAAAAAAAAGAUCACUUUUCAAGUCAUUUGCAAGACCUUGGAUUUUUUCCAUUUCUUUAUCUUGAAGAAUAUUUUUCAGCAGUUUUCUGUCUUCUCUCCAUACUAUAAUCAUAUUAAAGCCAUCAAGUAUCAAGGUAUACCUUGACUUUGUUUUGAUAGAUUUUGCCAAGUUCUUUUUCAGAAUUUCUUAGCUUUAUCCCCUGCAGUGUAUGUUGACACAUGAGCAUGUACUCUAUUUGCUUAAGCUCAUCAUGACCCAUAUAAGGUCAGCUGAGUAAGGAUGAAGUGUCCCCAUAUGAAAUGAUACUUCUUGUUGCCUCUAGGCACACAAUGAAACCAACUGUGCCAGCUUUUUUGCCAUUCUGAGGAGGACUUACAGGUCAUCCUUCCAUUAUUCUGCAACUUUCUUAUGUCUUUGUUUUUAUUUAUAGCAAAUGGAGAUGUGCUUUAUUUAGUAGUGCAUCAACUUUUCUAUUAUACAAAAACUACAUGUAAGUGUAAAUUAAAUUACUAUUUGUGGAUGUUCUAAGAAUUGUAUGAUUUUUUUUUUAGUACCUUCUGCUCCUUUUGCUACCUCUUUUCCUACACAUCAUUUUCAGAACUGGGGCUAUCAGAUCAUGGAAGCAGAGAAGACUAUAGCAAAGGUUGACAUCCAAUUUGUAUUUCCAUCUAUUUCACUGACUUUCCCCCAACCUGGUGACUAACUUUAUCAAGCUGAGCCACUCUCUAAACUUUGGAUUUUUAUAACAAUUUGGUUUCUUUUUCAUUCACUUCAUUCUUUUUCCUCCUUCCUCUGCUCCUUGCAAUUAGGGACAUUUGGGGCUGCAAAGUCAUGCAAGGCAAUCAACUGGAAGCUACAAUGGUAUAUUUAAAAUUUUAAUAUAAAUAGAUUGUAUAGUCUAACUGUCUCUAAGAUCAUCCUUUCCCUCUUCCCAUUCCCAACUGCUUCUGCAGCUGGCAUAAAAUGAAAAAAAAAAAAAAUCUAAAGCAAACAAACAUUGAGCUUAGUAUUCUGGAGGCUUUGGUUCCAUAAUCAAUUCCAUCUCUAACUGGGUUGCCUUGAGUUUAGGCAAGUAAAUUAACCUCUAUGUCUCUCACUUUCCUGAAAUAUAAAAUGAGGAGAUUGGAUUAUGUUUACUCCUAAUUUUCUGACAAGAGACACAUGAUCUCAAACGUGUACUUGAUGCUUAUCCAACUAGAAUUUAAGCUUUGUUUGAAUAAUCUUGGAGAAUCUAAGCUCACUUACAAGUCACAAAGAAAUUGAGAGUAGAAUUUAUGGAGAGAAUGAGGACAACUAUGUCAUAGUUGUCUUAAGAAGUACUUUUGUUGCCAUCUACACCCAGAGAGAGAACUAUGGGAUCAGAGUGUGGAAGACAACAUAGCAUUCUCACUCUCCAUGUUGUUAUUUGCUUCCAUUUUGUUUUUGUUCUCAGUUUUUCUUUUCCUUCCUUCUUGAUCAAGAUAGCUGUGCAGCAAGAUGAUUGUAUAAAUAUGUAAACAUAUAUUGGAUUUAACAUGUAUUUCAACAUAUGUAACAUGUAUUGGACUACAUGUAUUGGGAGGAAGUGGAGGGAAGAUGGGGGAAAUUUGGAACAAAAGGUGUUGCAAGGGUCAAUGCUGGAAAAAUUAUCAAUGAAUAUGCUUUGCAAAUAAUUAAAUAAAUAAAUGAUUUUUAAAAAA
This is a long non-coding RNA of Antechinus flavipes (yellow-footed antechinus), 2793 nucleotides long. RefSeq lists it as uncharacterized. NCBI's taxonomy places the organism in Eukaryota, Metazoa, Chordata, Mammalia, Dasyuromorphia, Dasyuridae. The record is from RefSeq and is a predicted model, not a curated record. The transcript is spliced from 4 exons.